AGUGAACGCUGGCGGUAGGCCUAACACAUGCAAGUCGAACGGCAGCACAGUAAGAGUUUGCUCUUAUGGGUGGCGAGUGGCGGACGGGUGAGGAAUACAUCGGAAUCUACCUUUUCGUGGGGGAUAACGUAGGGAAACUUACGCUACUACCGCAUACGACCUUCGGGUGAAAGCAGGGGACCUUCGGGCAUUUCGCGGAUAGCUGAGCCGAUGUCGGAUUAGCUAGUUGGCGGGUUAAAGGCCGACCAAGGCGACGAUCCGUAGCUGGUCUGAGAGGAUGAUCAGCCACACUGGAACUGAGACACGGUCCAGACUCCUACGGGAGGCAGCAGUGGGGAAUAUUGGACAAUGGGCGCAAGCCUGAUCCAGCCAGACCGCGUGGGUGAAGAAGGCCUUCGGGUUGUAAAGCCCUUUUGUUGGGAAAGAAAAGUAGUCGGCUAAUACCCGGUUGUUCUGACGGUACCCAACGAAUAAGCACCGGCUAACUUCGUG
RNAcentral lists this ribosomal RNA (492 nucleotides) under uncultured bacterium. Its description in RNAcentral is "partial 16S ribosomal RNA". It matches the Rfam family "Bacterial small subunit ribosomal RNA", at positions 29 to 507 of the family's 1533-position model. The record is from RNAcentral.